ACUUUUUAUACAAUAUGAUAUCCACCUAUUCUUAGCAAGCAUUGCUAAGGUUGAACACAAGUGGAAUAAAGUAUAGCAUGACUAUCCCUUGUGCUAUUUUAAACAAAUACAGAGUGAAAGCCAAAGUGUUUUCACAGACAAUGGGCUUAGGCAGAGGGGUAUUACAUUAGGAUUCAUAAGUACUCCACUUAACCCAGGCUGAAGAGUUACCUAACAGCUGCAAUAACCAGAGGUCUUCAUUCAGUGAUGCACAUUUUUACCAACAAAUAAAGACACAACUCCUCCAUGAAAUAUGUUCAUUUUUGUAGUACAGGGUAAGACUUAACGUUUUAAAGAACAAACAUUACUCAUCAGACUUGGGAUGUGAACAAAAAGACACACGAAGGCGGGUGGAGAGCUGGGGAAACAGCUACCAACCUGAGAAGGCCAUCUCCACUAAUGGACCAUCAACGUCUCACAGUGUGACUCACAGAAUUACAGCAUCCCCGAGAUGCCCCGCUCUGAGGAGGGAACCAAAUGUUCCUAUAUGUAUAUAAUAUAAUCUGAGGUUCGGAACACCAUGGGCAGCACCUACCACUGGAUUCCCAGAGGACAAGAGCUAAAUAACCACCAUUGGACCUCCAGAGAAGGACCAGAUCUUUCUACAGGACCACUGCUUUUGACAGAACCACACCUAUCACUCCAACAGAACUGUAGCCACCAUUUAAUCAGAUUGCCACCACCACCCUGACCAACAGGAUGUCAGGUUGUAUUCUUACCCUGUCAGUUUAAGACAGUGUUUUUGUAUCAUUGCCUUUAUUUUAAUUUUCCUAUUA
Long non-coding RNA from Hirundo rustica (Barn swallow), 815 nucleotides. RefSeq lists it as uncharacterized. The record is from RefSeq and is a predicted model, not a curated record. The transcript has 3 exons. NCBI's taxonomy places the organism in Eukaryota, Metazoa, Chordata, Aves, Passeriformes, Hirundinidae.